GCGGGUAUCGUAUAACGGCUAUUAUGUGACCUUCCCAAGGUUAAGACACGGGUUCGACUCCCGUUACCCGCUCCA
This 75-nucleotide transfer RNA is filed under the name Candidatus Peregrinibacteria bacterium. RNAcentral's name for it is "tRNA-Gly". It matches the Rfam family "tRNA". Rfam says of the family: Transfer RNA (tRNA) molecules are approximately 80 nucleotides in length. The record is from RNAcentral. Lineage: Bacteria; Candidatus Peregrinibacteriota. RNAcentral also lists the same sequence under 2 other names.